GAUGAACGCUAGCGGGAGGCUUAACACAUGCAAGUCGAGGGGCAGCACGAUGUAGCAAUACGUUGGUGGCGACCGGCGCACGGGUGAGUAACACGUAUGUAACCUACCCUGUACAGGGGGAUAACCCGGAGAAAUUCGGACUAAUACUCCAUGGAGAUAUACUGGGGCAUCCUGGUAUAUUUAAAGCUUCGGUGGUACGGGAUGGGCAUGCGGAACAUUAGCUAGUUGGCAGGGUAACGGCCUACCAAGGCUACGAUGUUUAGGGGACCUGAGAGGGUGGUCCCCCACACUGGUACUGAGACACGGACCAGACUCCUACGGGAGGCAGCAGUGAGGAAUAUUGGUCAAUGGGCGCAAGCCUGAACCAGCCAUCCCGCGUGCAGGAAGACGGCCCUAUGGGUUGUAAACUGCUUUUCCAGGGAGAGAAACUUACGCACGUGUUGCGUGACUGACGGUACCCUGGGAAUAAGCAUCGGCUAACUCCGUGCCAGCAGCCGCGGUAAACACGAG
Molecule: ribosomal RNA, 510 nt
Filed under: uncultured bacterium
Lineage: Bacteria
Description: bacterial SSU rRNA
Rfam family: Bacterial small subunit ribosomal RNA
Source: RNAcentral